GGCAAAAUGUUAUUUGUCCUUUGGUUGGGAUCCCAUUGUAUCUCUAAAUUGCUUAUGGUAGAAUGGAAAUUUUCAUUUUGUCGAUUUUACCGAUGAAUGAACAUGGCAGAUUUUUCUAUUUUUGUGUGUCUUCUUCCAUUUCUUUAAUGUUUAUUAAUUUUCAUUGUAGACAUUUUCAUGGAUAUGAAACUGGACACCGAGUUGACGCUGAAGUUCAGCUGCUGGGUAAUCUUCCAUUUCUGGAGCCUGCUCAUCUUCCUUGUAAAACCCGGCUAGGCCUUCACCCUGGACAGGAGCAACUGAGGAUCUGGAUGUGAAACUAACCCAGAGUGGACGCUGAAGCUCAGCUGCCAAGUAAUCUCCCAUUCCCAGAGAG
This 376-nucleotide long non-coding RNA is filed under the name Oryctolagus cuniculus (rabbit). Its description in RNAcentral is "lncRNA (ENSOCUG00000036330.1)". Lineage: Eukaryota; Metazoa; Chordata; Mammalia; Lagomorpha; Leporidae. The record is from RNAcentral.